Molecule: long non-coding RNA, 2281 nt
Organism: Equus quagga
Lineage: Eukaryota; Metazoa; Chordata; Mammalia; Perissodactyla; Equidae
Exons: 6
Source: RefSeq, a predicted model, not a curated record
CCUAAAAGGAGCUAGCUGCCAAAGGAAAAAUGUCAUUUGCAGAGGCUCAGCCCCAGCAUCAGAAAGCAGAGCAGGGAGGAGGGGAAAAUUGAGCCGAGAAACAAUGGUUUAACAACUAGCACCCCAGCAUGUGCCAGGAGCUCCGACCACGAGGCUGCCCAUUGAGGAUGUUUCCAGAGCCGUAGCAUUUCCUGGGGGAAAGAGAAGCAAAUGUAGCUUCUACAGGCCACCAGCGUUCAUUCCUUGGCUUAUGUCUCCUGCCAUCGUCAAAGCCAGCAAUGGCCACUUGAAUCUCUCCCUCCUCUGAUGCUCACUCUCCCGCCACCCACCCAGAUGAUCCAGGACGAUCUCCCAUCUCAAGGUUCUUGAGCACAUCUGCCAAUUCGCUUUGCCAUGAGGUGCAGAAGAUAAUGAAAUGGAUCAGACCCUGGUGAGCAGACAAGCAUACCAGGGGGGAACAGGUCCUGGUGAUAAGCCCCACCUCAGGUGAGAGGGGGCACGAAGUACCACGUGGGAAGAUGGAAUCCAGUGCCUGGAGCUCAUGGUCCAGACAGCCUCUGCAGAAGAACUGGUGCAGUGAUGUACAGCCAUGCUCAAAGUAUUUAAUAAACAUUUGACUACUUUCCUGUGUCUCUGGGUAUCCCAUGACCUGCAUGAAAAUUAAAACAACACGAUCCGCAAGUCGGUCUCAAGUGGUUGGCAGUGAUGAAUACAAACAGAACAGCUUACAACUCUGCUCUACAAUGGUUAGAAUCAUGGAAAACUGUAAAAAAAAAAAAAAGUAAAACGGGUACUAUGGAAGAUGAUAACUGUGAAAGACAAGGUAGAUACAAUCCAAAUAUACAUGGAGUCCAAAAGCGAAGUGGACAAGGAUGCUUCCUGCCUCCCACCGCUGCCUCCCGCACUUGAUGUAAAUGAAAAAUAAACAUCAGCGGUGUUGAGUCGCAAGAGGGACCAAUUCACCGCCCUCCACUCCUUUUUUAUUUACUCUAGGUUCUCAUAGAAACCACCCUUUUCCACUUACGUUAUUUUUACACAUCUUCAAAAUAGGUGUUUGAAAGAACAGUUAUAUUUCAAAUGAAAUAAUUGGUUUCACUGUGCAUUAUUUAUGCAUUUCUGUAGUCAGAAUUUCUCCUUUUAACACUCGUCAAUCUAGAUGAAGCCCUCCAAUGAUUUCAACAGAAGAACUAUUUGAGUUGUAUAUUUCUGAAAAUUUUCAGGCCUUAGAAUGUCUUUCAUGAAAAAAUAAUAGGUUGACGGGACAUAGCCACUUUGUGUCACUCUCUUUUUCUUUAAGGAUUUUGCAAAUAGAAUUCACUGGCUUCUGACACUGUAAGUUGUAGUAGAGGAAUGUGAAAUUAUCCUAAUUCGGGCCCAUUGGAAUUUUUUGUAUGGGUAAUACAUCUUCAAGAGAUAAAUGCAUAGCCGAGAGAUGGUGGAUAGAUAUUGUGAAAUAUCUAUGUCCCCCAAUCCUAUUUCUCAUCCACCCAUUUCCCACCCCCACCUCACCACAGGUAAUGACUAUGACUGUCUCUAGCUCAGAGAAAUAACUACUAGAAGAAGCUUCUUAUGCACCAACAAGGAAACAUAAAUUUAUAUUCUUAGUCCCCCCCUUUACAAAACAGGUAGGAGGGGAAGGAGUAAAGAUAAUUAUUGUAAUUUGGUUGGAGUGAAAGCAGGGUGCAGAAGACACAAAAAGAGGUAUAUAAGCUCUCAGAUUAAGCUAAUGAUUAACGAAAAAGCAUGAAGGAAGUAAGAAAAUCCAAAAAGGACCUAACUCCUUAUCUACCAUAAAAGAAAGUCUGAAGUUGUGCUGGAAUGGAUAGAUAUAAAUUGAUGGUUAUGGUACUCUGAAUAUUUAUGGAAGGUCUGAAUUUAAUGAUGAGUAAUGUUAAAACAGACUAUUUACGCUCUAAAUCAUACUAGAAUAAAAAAGAAACUAAUGUUGCUCAUAUAUCAAAAAUCCAUAAUAGAAAAGGGACCUUAAGGAAAAAUAAUGUUUAAAAGCAUAAACUAGGUAGGCAGACCUAGUUUUGCAACAAUCAUCAUGCUAUCCACUUUGAAAUAGUGGUUUGAUAAAUUAUAGUUUAUUGGCCCUUUGGAAGGUGGUGAAGAUAAAGGAAAUAAUCUUUGUGAGGGCUGAGGGGUGAUGAGAAAAAGCAUUGAAGACGUGAAGUAAAGUAAAAAGCUAUAUGCUUUGUACAUUGCAGUUAUGAAAUAAAUCUGGACAGAUGGAGGGCCAUGUGGCAGGCUGGUGUUGAAAUUACAGGAUUUAUUUUUG